CUUGGUCAUUUAGAGGAAGUAAAAGUCGUAACAAGGUCUCCGUAGGUGAACCUGCGGAGGGAUCAUUACACAAAUAUGAAGGCGGGCUGGAACCUCUCGGGGUUACAGCCUUGCUGAAUUAUUCACCCUUGUCUUUUGCGUACUUCUUGUUUCCUUGGUGGGUUCGCCCACCACUAGGACAAACAUAAACCUUUUGUAAUUGCAAUCAGCGUCAGUAACAAAUUAAUAAUUACAACUUUCAACAACGGAUCUCUUGGUUCUGGCAUCGAUGAAGAACGCAGCGAAAUGCGAUAAGUAGUGUGAAUUGCAGAAUUCAGUGAAUCAUCGAAUCUUUGAACGCACAUUGCGCCCUUUGGUAUUCCAAAGGGCAUGCCUGUUCGAGCGUCAUUUGUACCCUCAAGCUUUGCUUGGUGUUGGGCGUCUUGUCUCUAGCUUUGCUGGAGACUCGCCUUAAAGUAAUUGGCAGCCGGCCUACUGGUUUCGGAGCGCAGCACAAGUCGCACUCUCUAUCAGCAAAGGUCUAGCAUCCAUUAAGCCUUUUUUUCAACUUUUGACCUCGGAUCAGGUAGGGAUACCCGCUGAACUUAAGCAUAUCAAUAAGCGGGAGGAAA
This 611-nucleotide ribosomal RNA is filed under the name fungal sp. MG137M1L3x. RNAcentral's name for it is "eukaryotic LSU rRNA". The stretch from base 234 to 387 matches the Rfam family "5.8S ribosomal RNA". Lineage: Eukaryota; Fungi. The record is from RNAcentral.